Long non-coding RNA from Bubalus bubalis (water buffalo), 1501 nucleotides. RefSeq lists it as uncharacterized. NCBI's taxonomy places the organism in Eukaryota, Metazoa, Chordata, Mammalia, Artiodactyla, Bovidae. The transcript has 2 exons. The record is from RefSeq and is a predicted model, not a curated record.
UCUUUUAAUUUCAUGGCUUCAGUUUCCAUCUGUAGUGAUUUUGGAGCCCAAACAAAUAAAAGUCUCACACUGUACCACCCUACUCUUGGGUAUUUGUGUAGGUGGCCUCUGACUUUGCAUCCUGAGUGCUUUGAUAGUACCCACUCCUUUCAGGUCACUGCCCUCAUGUCAGACCUUCAUUUUCUUAUGUCUGGACUUGUCUUCACAGCCAGUUACCCGUCUCCCUGUCUCCAGCCCUGUGACUGUCCAUCACUGUCUACACCACAGCCAGAGCAUCCUUCUGAAGCACGACAUCUAUCUUCAUCACUUUCCACUCCCCAGAUACUAAAACCCCCACCAGGUGAGAAAAGUUAACUGUAUGCUGACCACCAGCAGAUAGACCCCAGAGUGGUUGGAACCUGGAGACUGAGGAUGUUGAAUUCCAGUUACCUCACCAUCAACCAAUCAGAAGGAUAUCCACAAGCUCAUCACAUACCUCACAACCCCUGUCCCUCACCCUGUCUCUAAAAACCUUUCUCUGAAAGCCACUGGGGACUUUGGGCCUUUUGAAAACUAGCUGCCUGCACUCCUUUCUUGGCACCCUGCAAUAAACACUGCACUUUGCUUCACCGAAACCCAGGGGCAAUAGAUGGGCUUUACCGCUCCCAGGCGAGCAGACCCGAGCUUGCUUUUGUAACAGAUACAUGGCUCUAUGGAGACCGUUGCUAUUUGUCAUUUAAAUGAAAGACUAAGUUAUGUUUAAUGUAGUUUAUUUUCCAGUACAUUGCUUGAUUUAUCCUAACCCAUACAAUCAUAGCGUUUGUCAUACAUUUUACAAAAAGAACCAAUUCAUUCUUUUGUUGUUGCAAAAAGAUUUAAGUGAUCAAUAGCUUGGAGCUGAAGAGGCUAAUCAGUUUUACAAAUCAAAAUAAUACCUUGUAAAGCUAAAUAGCAUGUGUCUCCACAGUUGAAUUGUGUCAGAUUCUAUAGCACAAGAAACAGUACUUUGCUGGCCUGCUAGAUACCUCCUCAGAGCUUUAGGCAAAUCACUUCAGCUAGAAUCUAUGGUUCAUAAUAACAAAGAGAAGUCAAGCGUAUACAAAGAGGAAUGCGUAUUUCAAGAAUGUGCUUCUGGCAUUUAAUCCACUAAAUUAUCUCCUAAACUAUUUCUUUGCUAUUUUAAGUAGGUGCUUUGGGGACACAUCAAUAUGAUUUGUGGAUAUUUGAAGCAGGUCAGGAAAUGGCAGGAAGUGCCCUGAUUACCUCUCGAUGUUUCUGUUGCCCCUGAAGUGCUAGAGAUUGCAUUCACAACAUAAGGUUUGUCAGACAAAUGAGACCCUUCUCUACCCUCUCUACUGUUGUGUCCUGCACCCCCAUCAUCUCCUGUAGCCCCAGUUUUAUGCCUACAUGGCUCUCGCUUUGGCAUCGGCCUACCUGUGUCUCUCUAGAUCACCGCUCUGCACAUACCAGGGGGUGCCUGCACACUCAUCUUCAACGACCAGUCGUCAGGUGGAAUAGGAAA